RNAcentral lists this ribosomal RNA (406 nucleotides) under uncultured bacterium. RNAcentral's name for it is "partial 16S ribosomal RNA". It matches the Rfam family "Bacterial small subunit ribosomal RNA", at positions 30 to 526 of the family's 1533-position model. The record is from RNAcentral.
AUUGAACGCUGGCGGCAGGCCUAACACAUGCAAGUCGAACGAGUGGCGGACGGGUGAGUAAUGUCUGGUAAACUGCCUGACGGAGGGGGAUAACUACUGGAAACUGUUGCUACUCCCGCAUACCAACAGAUGGGCCCAGAUGGGAUUCGCUAGUGGGGGGGGUAACGGCUCACCCAGGCGACGAUCCCUAGCUGGUCUGAGAGGAUGACCAGCCACACUGGAACUUAGAGACGGUCCAGACGCCUACGUGAGGCAACAGUGGGGAAUAUAGCACAAGGGGCGCAAGCCUGAUGCAGCCAUGCCGCGUGUAUGAAGAAGGCCUUCGGGUUGUAAAGUACUUUCAGCGGGGAGGCGUUACCCGCAGAAGAAGCACCGGCUAACUCCGUGCCAGCAGCCGCGGUAAUAC